UACGUAGGUGGCAAGCGUUGUCCGGAUUUACUGGGCGUAAAGAGCGCGCAGGCGGUCGAGUAAGUCGAAUGUGAAAGCCCCCGGCUUAACUGGGGAGGGUCAUUCGAUACUGUUUGACUUGAAGGCAGGAGAGGGCAGCAGAAUUCCCGGUGUAGUGGUGAAAUGCGUAGAUAUCGGGAGGAACACCAGUGGCGAAGGCGGCUUCCUGGCCUGUUCUUGACGCUGAGGCGCGAAAGCUAGGGGAGCAAACGGG
RNAcentral lists this ribosomal RNA (253 nucleotides) under uncultured bacterium. Its description in RNAcentral is "partial 16S ribosomal RNA". It matches the Rfam family "Bacterial small subunit ribosomal RNA", at positions 524 to 776 of the family's 1533-position model. The record is from RNAcentral.